GUGCUCGCUUCGGCAACACAUAUACUAAAAUUGGAACGAUACAGAGACUAACAUGGCCCCUGUGCCAGGAUGACAUACAAAUCUUUGUAUGACAUUCAAUCUUU
Molecule: small nuclear RNA, 104 nt
Organism: Jaculus jaculus (lesser Egyptian jerboa)
Lineage: Eukaryota; Metazoa; Chordata; Mammalia; Rodentia; Dipodidae
Source: Ensembl